RNAcentral lists this long non-coding RNA (231 nucleotides) under Lathyrus oleraceus (garden pea). RNAcentral describes it as "Pisum sativum (pea) long non-coding RNA (PSAT_LNC037760)". The record is from RNAcentral. Lineage: Eukaryota; Viridiplantae; Streptophyta; Magnoliopsida; Fabales; Fabaceae.
UUAACUCAGCAUGUGCACAAGGCCAAGAAUCGAACCCACGCGUCCAUGGAUACAUGAGAAAUCAAAAAUAAAUCAGCAAAUGAACAUAAGCAUGGAAUCGAACACACGCUAGUUAGGUCCAAAAUGAGAGUUCAAAUAAAAUUCACAAAACACACAGGCCAGGUAUCGAACCCAUGCAAGCGAGGUUCCAAGCAUUCCAAUGCUAAAACGCAGCGUUUUGUCACGAAAACC